Molecule: ribosomal RNA, 305 nt
Filed under: uncultured bacterium
Lineage: Bacteria
Description: bacterial SSU rRNA
Rfam family: Bacterial small subunit ribosomal RNA
Source: RNAcentral
UCUACCUACGGGGCGCAGCAGUGGGGGAUAUUGCACAAUGGGGGAAACCCUGAUGCAGCGACGCCGCGUGGGCGAAGAAGUAUUUCGGUAUGUAAAGCCCUAUCAGCAGGGAAGAAGAAAUGACGGUACCUGAGUAAGAAGCACCGGCUAAAUACGUGCCAGCAGCCGCGGUAAUACGUAUGGGGCAAGCGUUAUCCGGAUUUACUGGGUGUAAAGGGAGCGCAGGCGGAUUUUUAAGUCAGCGGUCAAAUCGUGGGGCUCAACCUCAUCCAGCCGUUGAAACUGGGGAUCUAGAGUGUGCGAGG